RNAcentral lists this small nuclear RNA (107 nucleotides) under Dasypus novemcinctus (nine-banded armadillo). The record is from RNAcentral. Lineage: Eukaryota; Metazoa; Chordata; Mammalia; Cingulata; Dasypodidae.
GUGCUCGCUUUAGCAGCACAUAUACUAACAUUGGAACGAUGCAGAGAAGAUUAGUAUGGCCCCUGCGCAAAGAUGACAUGCAAAUUCAUGAAGCGUUUCAAAAUUUU